AGUCUGGUGCCAGCAGCCGCGGUAACACCAGCUCCAAUAGCGUAUAUUAAAGUUGUUGCAGUUAAAAAGCUCGUAGUUGGAUUUCUGGUCUGGAUUGCCUGGUCCGUCCCAAACGGGAUGUUGACCGGUUGUGGUCCAGCCAUUCUUCGUGGAGAACUUAAUGGCUCUUGACUGAGUUUCAUUAAGGGAUCCCGAUCAUUUACUUUGAGAAAAUUAGAGUGUUCAAAGCAGGCUUAUGCCUUGAAUACAUUAGCAUGGAAUAAUAAGAUAAGACUUUGGUCUUGUUUUGUUGGUUUCUAAGACUGAAGUAAUGAUUGAUAGGGAUAGUUGGGGGUGCUCGUAUUCAACGGCCAGAGGUGAAAUUCAGUGAUUCGUUGAAGACGAACUUAUGCGAAAGCAUUCACCAAGGAUGUCUUCUUUAAUCAAGAACGAAAGUUGCGGGAGCGAAGACGAUCAGAUACCGUCGUAGUCUCAACCAUAAACGAUGCCGACUAGGGAUUGGUGGAUGUUAGUUUUUGACUCCAUCAGCACCUUCCGAGAAAUCAAAGUCUUUGGGUUCCGGGGGGAGUAUGGUCGCAAGGCUGAAACUUAAAGGAAUUGACGGAAGGGCACCACAAGGAGUGGAGCCUGCGGCUUAAUUUGACACAACACGGGAAAACUUACCAGGUCCAGACAUAGUAAGGAUUGACAGAUAGCAGCUCUUUCUUGAUUCUAUGGGUGGUGGUGCAUGGCCGUUCUUAGUUGGUGGAGUGAUCUGUCUGGUUGAUUCCGUUAACGAACGAGACCUCAGCCUGCUAAAUAGCUGAGCCAAUGUUGCAUUGGCGAUCAACUUCUUAGAGGGACUUUGGGUGUCGAGCCCAAGGAAGUUUGAGGCAAUAACAGGUCUGUGAUGCCCUUAGAUGUUCUGGGCUGCACGCGCGCUACACUGGUGCAUUCAACGAGCUUACAACCUUGAUCGAGAGAUCUGGGUAAUCUUUGAAAAUGCACCGUGCUUGGGCUAGAUUAUUGCAAUUAUUAAUCUUAAACGAGGAGUUCCUAGUAAGCGCGAGUCAUCAGCUCGCACUGAUUACGUCCCUGCCCUUUGUACACACCGCCCGUCGCUCCUACCGAUUGAAUGAUCCGGUGAAAUCAACGGACUGCGGCGAAUAUGCAUUCGUGCAUUGUUCAGCUGUCGGGAAGUGGAUUAAACCUUAUCAUUU
This 1199-nucleotide ribosomal RNA is filed under the name metagenome. RNAcentral describes it as "bacterial SSU rRNA". It matches the Rfam family "Eukaryotic small subunit ribosomal RNA", at positions 558 to 1774 of the family's 1831-position model. The record is from RNAcentral.